CAGGAUUCGUUUGGAGGGGAGGACGUGUUUUCAUAUACAAGACUCGAACUCGAAACCUCUAAUUAAAGGGGAGCUUGCUCAACAAAUUAUUUUUUCGCCAACGAAAGGUUGCCUAAAAUGGUUUUGGUUGAUCUAGUAUUUCACUAUGCUGUGGAAUGAAUAAGAGAGCCUAAAUUGCUCUAUGAGAGGAAAUAUUUUCACAAAUGAGAAGGUUAUGAUUAUGAUCUCUUAUCUUAUAUAGAUAUUACUAAUGAGUACAUUAACAUAUUAAGAUAUAUAGGUGUGUAACAGUUGAUAGUAUUUGUCCCUUCUGAAAAUUCUAUUAAAUUGAAGGUGAUGAGGGGAUUAUGAUAUUAUUGUCCUUUAUUAAUGAUGAAUUUGAUGUAAUUAUUUUAUUAUUUUUAUAGAUGAUAGUGAGUUAGAUAUUGA
Solanum lycopersicum (tomato) is the source of this 429-nucleotide long non-coding RNA. RefSeq lists it as uncharacterized. NCBI's taxonomy places the organism in Eukaryota, Viridiplantae, Streptophyta, Magnoliopsida, Solanales, Solanaceae. The record is from RefSeq and is a predicted model, not a curated record.